Molecule: ribosomal RNA, 227 nt
Filed under: uncultured bacterium
Lineage: Bacteria
Description: partial 16S ribosomal RNA
Rfam family: Bacterial small subunit ribosomal RNA
Source: RNAcentral
UGAGUAACACGUAUCUAACCUGCCGUCUACUCUUGGACAGCCUUCUGAAAGGAAGAUUAAUACAAGAUGGCAUCAUGAGUCCGCAUGUUCACAUGAUUAAAGGUAUUCCGGUAGACGAUGGGGAUGCGUUCCAUUAGAUAGUAGGCGGGGUAACGGCCCACCUAGUCUUCGAUGGAUAGGGGUUCUGAGAGGAAGGUCCCCCACAUUGGAACUGAGACACGGUCCAA